CUUUAUGAAUGCAGAAUGUGGCCCACAUAAACAUAUGUUGAACAUGCUGAAUCAUUGUUUCAUGAAUAUUAAUGUUGAAAAAGCCCACCUUAAGUCUGAUAACUUGAAGAAAACGUAUGGCCCACGUGAUCAAAUAACUUUGCCAAGUUGCCAUGUCAUGUAUAUAUCCCAUAUAAAGCUUGAUGAUUUUUAAGAAGUUGCAGCCCACGUGAUAAUAAAUAAAUAAACCAACCCAUGCGGCCCACUUGAAUAUUUAAGUCUCUUGAAAUCAUUUGUUGAACACUUGAUAUUCGAGUCGAUAAAUUGACGAAAAAUUCUGACCCGAUCAAUUUGUCAUCAAUAAUCGCCACAGAAAUUGAAACGUUUACCAGAAAAUAGGGACCGUGGACAAAAAAGAAGAGGUUGAAUAGAGGGGGUCUUGUAUGUGGAAAUUAAUGGAAAUUAUGGUUUUCAGUAGGAAGAUGAAGAAGUGGAAUCGAUGAGUUUGUGUACGGAGAAUGGGGCUUUUAG
Molecule: long non-coding RNA, 510 nt
Filed under: Panax ginseng (ginseng)
Lineage: Eukaryota; Viridiplantae; Streptophyta; Magnoliopsida; Apiales; Araliaceae
Description: long non-coding RNA (PGIN_LNC013734)
Source: RNAcentral